RNAcentral lists this transfer RNA (73 nucleotides) under Candidatus Kaiserbacteria bacterium. RNAcentral describes it as "tRNA-Val". It matches the Rfam family "tRNA". From Rfam's summary of the family: Transfer RNA (tRNA) molecules are approximately 80 nucleotides in length. The record is from RNAcentral. Lineage: Bacteria; Candidatus Kaiseribacteriota.
GGGCGGUUAGCUCAGUUGGUAGAGCAACGCAUUUACACUGCGAAGGUCGGGGGUUCGAGCCCUCCACCGCCCA